RNA transcript from Rosa rugosa (rugosa rose), 1534 nucleotides. RefSeq lists it as uncharacterized. The transcript has 3 exons. The record is from RefSeq and is a predicted model, not a curated record. NCBI's taxonomy places the organism in Eukaryota, Viridiplantae, Streptophyta, Magnoliopsida, Rosales, Rosaceae.
CUCCCUCAGACAAAAAAAAAACCCUCGGCUCCCUUGUUUCUCUCUCCUUAGCAAGAGGGCCGACUCUUUUUUCUUCUCCAUCUCAUCUCCAUCUGAACCACCAAAUUGAUGGCCACUGCGAUUCUUGUUUCUCUGAUUCUUAGCAAUUCUUUUUGUUGUCUAUUCAUUUAUUCAAUUUUUAUUUCCUCUGCUUAUGAAUUUCUUCCUCUGGGUGGAGUUAGGGUUCGGAGGACAGGAAGAAAGUAAAGAAGCAUCCGAUCUGAAACCAAAAUUCGGAUUGCACGGGCUCUUCGUCUUCGACUGGAUAUGCAAAUUAGUUUCUAUUUCCACCAACUUGUUGAUCUUCUCUCUAUGUUUUUAAAGCUUCAAUCUUUAAGCUUGCAUGUUACAGAUCUUGAAUGUUUAACUCUGAUGGAAUUUUGUUUAUGUGUUUUUGAGAAAUUUGGGUAUUAUUUGAUUUAGGAUUACGGUAAAUUGAAAUUUUGAUGUGCUUGAUUUUGGAGGAGAGAGUUGCAUCGGUCGAUCAUUCCGAAGACGAUGACAACGAGGAAGAGGAUGAGAUUCUUGGUUCAUAUGUAUGUAGAAAAAAGAAAAUGGAGGUGUAAACCCAGACCGUUGCAAAAUGUUUGAGCUUACCCAUGUCCACGAUAAUGAAAAACCUGAUGAACCGAAUUCUAAAGCUAUUGCCUUGAUGAAGGACAAGAUUGACAAGAUGAAGACUACAAAGAGGGCAUCCCAACUUCCAGAGGUUCUUAAUGAUUUUGAAAUCAAUGAAGUAUAUGUGGCUGUGCUUGGAAAAGAGACACGUGGAGGGGUGUGAGGAUUUGGCAUUGGAGCCAUACCUGAACAAGUUCCUGGUGUACUAGUGUAGAAGAGAUGUGUUCAUUUAGAGGUACAAGCAAUGAGAGAACAACAUGAGGUUUGAGAUUGAAACGAUUUGGAAGGAGAGCCAAGAAAAGGAAGAUAAGCAGAAAUGAACAAACAAAUUCUGGCCACAAAAGAUAAAUUUAAAAAUAUGGAGAUUGCAAUGAAAAAACAGGAAGCUCUUAUGGCUUUGUUACUUGGGGCAUAUGAGUCAAGUGAUAUGCUUGCUGCAGCUUUAAGAAUGAAGGGUGGUUCUCUCUAACCAUCGAUGAGCCAUAUUCAAUCUUCAUAUGAGCAGAACUUGGAUGAUGUUUACAUACCACAUUGCUUUGAAGAAUUGCAGCUGCAAGUUACCAGAAAUUGAGGCACACUUCAGACUUCACCUUUUGGUUAGUAACAAUUGUGCUUAAGGCCUCUGUGUGUUUGUUGUUUAGGACUUAAUCUAUGAUCUCUCUAGUAUAUUGGUGGUAGCUACCUGAUCAUGGGAUAAGUGCACAACGGCUUUUAAGUUUAGCUUCAUAGGUAGAUUUAGGUUUUGGAUGUAUAUUUGUGAAGUCUGAUUUAGUUUAAUAGUGUUCAACUACUAUUUGGACUCUAUAGUAGUUUGUGUAUAUCUGUCAGGUAUUAUACUUGGAGUGGUUAAUGUAAUAUUAAAGUAUUAAAUGAAGGA